This 274-nucleotide ribosomal RNA is filed under the name uncultured bacterium. RNAcentral's name for it is "partial 16S ribosomal RNA". It matches the Rfam family "Bacterial small subunit ribosomal RNA", at positions 523 to 796 of the family's 1533-position model. The record is from RNAcentral.
AUACGGAGGGGGUUAGCGUUGUUCGGAAUUACUGGGCGUAAAGCGCACGUAGGCGGAUUGGAAAGUUGGGGGUGAAAUCCCAGGGCUCAACCCUGGAACUGCCUCCAAAACUAACAGUCUAGAGUUCGAGAGAGGUGAGUGGAAUUCCAAGUGUAGAGGUGAAAUUCGUAGAUAUUUGGAGGAACACCAGUGGCGAAGGCGGCUCACUGGCUCGAUACUGACGCUGAGGUGCGAAAGCGUGGGGAGCAAACAGGAUUAGAAACCCCGGUAGUCC